This is a non-coding RNA of Cynocephalus volans (Philippine flying lemur), 111 nucleotides long. RefSeq annotates it as small Cajal body-specific RNA 21. Lineage: Eukaryota; Metazoa; Chordata; Mammalia; Dermoptera; Cynocephalidae. The record is from RefSeq and is a predicted model, not a curated record. The transcript has a single exon.
AAGCUUUUUUCUCCCCUCAGCCGAGCCUAGAGGAGAGGGGCCAGGUGUCCUUCCCUAGGCCAGAGAUGUUUAAGUAGGGAGCCUCGCCUGGACAGUCCAAGCCUCACAUUU